CCUACGGGAGGCAGCAGUGAGGAAUAUUGGUCAAUGGCCGUAAGGCUGAACCAGCCAAGUCGCGUGAAGGAAGAAGGAUCUAUGGUUUGUAAACUUCUUUUAUAGGGGAAUAAAGGUAUCCACGUGUGGAUAUUUGCAUGUACCCUAUGAAUAAGCAUCGGCUAACUCCGUGCCAGCAGCCGCGGUAAUACGGAGGAUGCGAGCGUUAUCCGGAUUUAUUGGGUUUAAAGGGUGCGUAGGUUGUUUUUUAAGUCAGCGGUGAAAGUUUGUGGCUCAACCAUAAAAUUGCCGUUGAAACUGGAAGACGUGAGUGUGUUUGAGGUAUGCGGAAUGCGUGGUGUAGCGGUGAAAUGCAUAGAUAUCACGCAGAACUCCGAUUGCGAAGGCAGCUUACUAAGCCAUAACUGACACUGAAGCACGAAAGCGUGGGGAUCAAACAGGAUUAGAUACCCCGGUAGUC
Molecule: ribosomal RNA, 460 nt
Filed under: uncultured bacterium
Lineage: Bacteria
Description: partial 16S ribosomal RNA
Rfam family: Bacterial small subunit ribosomal RNA
Source: RNAcentral